RNAcentral lists this long non-coding RNA (742 nucleotides) under Homo sapiens (human). RNAcentral's name for it is "non-protein coding lnc-EED-1:1". The record is from RNAcentral. Lineage: Eukaryota; Metazoa; Chordata; Mammalia; Primates; Hominidae.
UGAGUGCCAUGUGGGCAUGUAUGAUAGAGCUAGGAGAAAUAGCAGGUGGUUCUGGCAUCUUCCUUACCAUCGUGUCUCCCACUUUGACUGCAGUCGUGACCACUGAUGUGCCAGUCUGCUUCAGUCUCUACCAAGCCCAGAACUUCACCCUCUAUCGGGUCCUGAGGAAAAGCAGCUUCCACGGUUUAUUUCAAGCUGGAUGAGGAUCCAAUUGAUGCCAUAUCCCUGUUGUAGCCUUUUGUGGUGAGACAAGGCGCUCAUCAGGACAGCAGAUUCUUCAAAGCCUUCCACACCAAUGUGAAGGACAGUAAGAUGUGGAAGUUCCUGGGUUUUGUUUUUGGACAAUGGGAACCAAGGGUGGCAUCCCUACACUCCAUAGUGUAGGGCCUGACACGAUGUAAACUCCCUCCUCCAGUAAUCAUUCAUCAAGAGUUUCAGUGUUGUGAUAACCUGUGAGUUCUCCACAUAGUGGCACAUCAUGGACCUCAUUUCCUUCCUGGAUUACAACUGCACCUUGGACAGUGAGGGCUCUUUUGGAAGUGCACACCUAGCUGACCUGCCCUCCAACUCAAAAGUGGACAAGACCUGUUCAGAGGUGUUAAGCACCCCCACACUCAAUGUCCAUUCAGGCCAAAAGUAUGCUCUUUGCCCCAAGGGAACCAAAGUCAUGAUGACAUAUGCCAGAGCUUGGGUAAAGGAUACAGUGAGGAUUCUUGGAUUUCAGAACAAAGUAUUCCUGGAG